UACGAAGGGUGCAAACGUUGCUCGGAAUUAUUGGGCGUAAAGCGCACGUAGGCGGCUCUAUAAGUCGGAUGUGAAAGCCCUCGGCUCAACCGAGGAAGUGCAUUCGAAACUGCAGAGCUUGAGUAGUUAAGAGGAUCGCGGAAUUCCCGGUGUAGAGGUGAAAUUCGUAGAUAUCGGGAGGAACACCAGUGGCGAAGGCGGCGAUCUGGGAACAUACUGACGCUGAGGUGCGAAAGCGUGGGGAGCAAACAGG
RNAcentral lists this ribosomal RNA (253 nucleotides) under uncultured bacterium. RNAcentral describes it as "partial 16S ribosomal RNA". It matches the Rfam family "Bacterial small subunit ribosomal RNA", at positions 524 to 776 of the family's 1533-position model. The record is from RNAcentral.